CGGGCCCCUUACCUCUUAUUUCAAGUUGUCUAAGCCCAGUCCAUCAGGACUUGACCCAAGCUAACUUUAAAAAAUAUAAUAGCACCAGUCCACAGCCAAACGACCCUCUUAGGGGUCAUUUGGCAUUUUCACGAAGGGUCUUUGAAACUCUAGGCACCGCCAAGUGGCGAUGCCUCUCUCUCCUCGUCACUAUUGCCUGAAAUGGAAAAAUGGCAAGUGGUAUAUGCCUUUACAGUCAUGGUUCAACCAUUUGAGGCAACAUAUUUAUUAUUCUUCCGCUUUUUCGCUCAAUCUCAACCAAACAUGGUAUUACCUUGGGUUUUCGCUUUUCCUUCUUCGAUUAUUUGUAUUAUCAACGGUCAACACUGUAUUUUCUUUAAUUACUUUUGUUUGUUUUUUAUUUGAAAUACUGUGUUGUGAUUGGUUCUUGAUGAACCUUUUCGGAUCGAGUUUUGUUGGUUAAAAUCCAACCUUUGAUGUUUCUUGUGAUUAAAUCUUGACCCUACAACUGCGAUUAGUGAGGAGGAAAUCCCAUAGUUGGGAUUUAUCCCACAUCGCGAAGUUAGGGUUUGACGGGUUUGAAGAAUUGCUAUAAAAAGAGGCAUUUGCCCACAUUUUUAAGGAGGAAAAAAUGUAUUUUCAAGAAAAAAUAGAGGCUUAAACUCAGUUUUGGCAAUACUUGCUUUGAGACUGAAGUUUAAGGAGUUAAAAUUUUAAAUUAUUUUUCGAGUCUGUGGUUGAGUUUGAUUUGGGAAGGAAGAGUCUCCAAGUUCGAAUUUCGACUAAAGACUGCACAAGAAGGAGGUAAUUUUCCUUUGCAUUUUUUUUCUCUCUAUUCCUGCUUUAAUCUUUUGUUGUGCUAGUCUACUUGAUUAUUUUAGUUAACUUGUCCUGUUAAUACAGUGUAGUCUAUGUGUGUGAUUAGGCAAAUUAAUUGGCUUAAUAUAUGUAUUUAGUUUGAUUUCAGUAGGUAAGAUGAUGUGAUAAGCUUAAGGUAUGUUGAUUAGAUGAACACUAAUACUGCUUUCAAUAAAGGAAUUCACUUAACACACUUAGUUAAUCUAGUUUAACUAAAAUAAGCCCAUAUUGGCUUUGCCCUUAAUAACUUGCUCAACCUUAAUCAAAUAGGCUUUACUUGUUUGUUAAUCCAACCUAUCUAUAAUGAAAAAGUAGGGUUCUAUAGUUUAAGUCUUGAUAUGAUAAGGAAACAGUGCUUAUGCACUGUUAAAAUCAAACUAGCUACAUUAUAGGUUAAGUGUCUAAUCUGUAUGGCCAAACAUGCCCCUUUUCUAGCCAUUUCAUGUCUAAAUUUAUUCAUGUCUAAAUCUGUGCUAUAUUGCUUAAAUAAGAGGUGUAUUAUUGCUCUGUUGGGAGCUGGGUACAUGAUUGUUAGUUGUUGUUGACUUGAGCAAUAUGUGUUAUUAUCUUAUGGGGAGAUAGUUGGAUGGUUACUAGACACUAUUAGCUUGAAUAUGAUCAGUAGAGUUAAUUGUCAACUUGAUUGCUUUUGCUAUACUUUUCCUAGGUUGUUUUUGGCCUGUUUGGUCUGAUGAUCUUAUAUUUGAUAGGCAGUACUGCAAUAAAUUUAAGUUUAGGAAACUUUUGGUUGAUUUUCAUUGAAUUAGACCGUGUUUAAACCUUUAUUCCUGUCUUAUGAUAACUUCUACUAAGUCUGAUUGUCAACAUGUCAAGCUUAGUUUUUCUCAACUUAGUUCACUAAAAAAAGGAUAAGAAAACAACUUGUCUAAAUCUUGGGACUUUGUUUAAAAAAAUAUAUAGAAGUUUUGCCUAGUUGAUAGUAGUGUUUGUUUAUUGCUUUGCUCUGCUCUGAAGCUACCUUCCCACCAUUCUUGGUAAAUCUUAAAAUUAAAUGGUGUAUGAAUCUGUUGAGGUUUUGUUUAGACUGGAGUUGUACCUUUAUAUAUCAAAUUGAGUUGUCUGUAGUAAUCAAGAUCCUUACAUACUCCUUGGGAGGUAUGAGGCUUAUGCCAUCAAAUUGAUCUAACCGAUUUCAAUCUAAAAAGGGAGUCUUUAACUGAGUCCUAAGUGCUAGAAUCUAUGUUCAAAAUGUUCUAAAAUUGGCACUUAUGAUAUGUGACUCAUGAGGACAGUCAAGACCUUUGUGUUUGGGUAAGAAGUGAUGAGAUGUUGGUCCUUUAAGUCCAUUACAAAUUGCCUCAUGAGGCAGUUUUGUGCAAGACAUAUAUUAGUUUGCACUAGCUAUAACAUUAUCAUUUGAUGUUUAGUUUCGAAUAGAAAAUGAUUUCAAAACCUAUCUUCCCCUGCUUGUUUCUGCCCUCAUCUUGCAACUAUACAUAUGUGUUUCCCUUUAUCUGUGUCUGAUUAAAAGACUUAUUGCAAAAAACUGGAUUUAGAGUUGGUACAUGGUAAGUGUGAUCAUAAGUUUAAAAGAAUAAGUUGGCAAGAGUUUAUCAUUUGAUAUUUGAAAUAAAAAGGAGAGAGUAGAAACAUUCAUGGUCACAAUAUCUUCUUGACCCUUGACCUAUGAAUCCCUUCUAUUGUUUUUCUGAUGCUGUCUAUUUGACUUGGCUGAAACGUUUAUGUUUGAGGGUCUAUCUUUUUGUUUCAUCAUCUAUUAUGUAGAGUUGUCUCAUAUAUAUAUAUAUAUAUAUAUAUAUAUAUAUAUAUAUAUAUAUAUAUAUAUAAUAAAUGAAAGGAUACACCUAGAUAUAUGGGAUAUACUCAAGCUCUAUACACCUCACAAGUGUAUAAAGGCUGGUAUACCUAAUCUAUAUGGUGUAUAUCAUUACUAUGAGUCUAUUGGCUUUAAUAUUUGUUCAGUUUUUUAGGAGUUCAGGGCCAGUUUCUUGGGCCUUUCCUAAGUGCCUAAGCAUAAUUCAUUAGUUAGCCCAGUUUUGUUGUACUUCUGAUGAUUGACAUUAUUUGGGGUUUGCGGUUCUCUUCCUAUUACUGUUUCUGCUUGGGCCUGAUUGUUCUUUAAAGGGUGUUCAUUAUUAAAUAUUACAACACACCCAACUGGUUGUAUAUUGUUUGUACACUAUAGCUAAUUUUUCAUGAAGGAUUGUGCAUACAAAUAUUAAUGCUUUCUCUCUUGUAUACCAAACCUUAGCACAUAAAUAGAGAUGCUUAAUAGCACUCAAGGAUCAAGCUUAAGUCUUCCCUGGUGUCUGCCAUGCCUAGGGUUCCAAGAAACCUCUUGGAUCUUGCACAACAUCAGGAAUAAGAAGACAAAAGCUUUCCUUUUUGGGCUAUUCACGUAUCUCCAUGAAUGUGUAUAUCCAAGGUAUAUUAAGUUUGAAGUCCUAUAUAUUUGUAUGACACUGCCCAGUGCUUAUUUUAAGAAGAUUGAUCUCGUAUACCUUUCUUUAGCUAUGUAAAUAUUUUGGUCUGCUUCUAUGUGCUUUGGGUUUGUGCAUAAUUUUUGGGCUUACUUUGUUUAUGUGCCUCUAAUACUUAGUCGAUUCUAGGCUCUGUUCUGGCUUGCUUUGUACAUCUGAGCAUUACUUGAAUUCACUUUCAUUUUGCCAUCUCAAUUUGCACAAGUCCUAAUCUUUAUCUUUUUCUAUCCUUGCUUGCAUGAAAUGCCAUCGUAGGGUGAUCUCUCUUGCAUAAACCCAUUGGGCCAAAGGCCCAAUGAUUUCUUUUGAUCAAGUCCGCUGAGAAAAUAUAAAAAGGAAGCUGAUAUGUUUUGAAGGCCCAGCCAAUGGGUGAAAAUGACACUGAUGGGCUAGGGUAGGCCUAUCAGUUAAAAAUUUCACUCUCCUCCUAUCUCCAUCUAUAUAUUUACGUGUAUAUAUUGUAUGUAUACUGAAUAUGUGAAUAUUGGAACCCUUGUGUAUGCUAGAACUUAGGAAGAACGCCUAGUAUUUUUAAGAGGAUGCCAAAAACUCUUUUUCCAAACUUAGUUAGUGUUUAAUUUCGCAUUAACUAGAACUCGGUUUGAUAAUGAGUUUUUCUCUAAAAAUUUUGCUAAACGAUAUGGCUAAUUGUAACGGGAUCUUGCUUAGGUUUAAAACGCAGCGACGUCUAGCGUCUUUUCCCUAAAGCUAGCCAAUAAAUAGAUUUCCAAGCUAUCAUCCGUGAUUUGUAAAAAUAGGCGAAUUGUUUAACAUUUGGAACUGGUUGAAAACAGUCUUUUAUAAAACUCAAAGACCAUUUUGUAUUUGGGCUCGAUCUGAUUGCAUGCAUUCUUUAAAAAUGGAUUUGGACUUGGUAAAAUCUAAGGAAUUCGGUUGAUUUGGGCUUGACAUCCCCAAAGCAAUAGUGACUAAUAUACUGACUAAAAAUGGUGAUAAAAUAAAUUGGACCAAAAUUGAGGACUUUGGUUUUGGAAUACAAGUUGACUUAUGGGCUCGAAUGAUAAAAUUGGACUUAAAAAAGGUUUCAUUUCUUUAUAUAUAUAAUGUAUAAAAAAUCGGAGAUAUACGCCAUAUUUUCUAUAUAGAUGUAUAAAACCCGUAAGUACUAAACCCAUUUCGUUAGGACUAGAAUAGUAGCGACUCUACUCGGGAGAAAUCUCGGGUGUGUUCUAGUCUGGCAACGAAGUGAGUUGAACAUUUGCGUGGAUUUUUAAACCAAAACCCCCUCUGGUAAGGGGGGACUUUUGCCAAAUUUUUUCUUGGAACCAUGUUAUGAUAUGAAAAAGAAUGACAUUUUGCGAAAAAGUUAAAACACUCUCUUUUGGAAAAUAAAUACAUUAAUCACACAUUGAAACUCGUAGGUCAACCGUAUUCUACAGAUCUUUAAUACCAGGAUGCGUAAAACCUUCCCUAGGAGAUCACCAGAACCCUUACCUCGAACUUUGGUCCAAAAAGAUUUUUGCUUAUUUUUGAAAAUAUCUUUAAACCCAGUUUUCCUAGUUUUCCAUAAUAAAUUAUGUGGCGAGUCUAAAAAAUACUAAAUUCAAUUAGAGCACCAACAACCUCGUAGUAACUUUUAUGCCUUAACCCGCGUAAAAGCGAACUGUAACAAAUAGUAUAGGCUGACUGACCCACACUAGCCUGAGAAUAAGAACUCAAUGGUCUGAAGUUCUGCUUCUUAUCAUUUUGAAACUUAGGAACUGGGAUGUCACGCCCCGAACCAUAGCCUGGGCGAAACACGACACUCGGUGCCUUACUGUAUGUGACCGAGUGAACCACAUGGCUUGCUGAAUCAUCACAUGGCCUAAGAACGCUACUGACUUAAGCCAAAACUCAAACUUUGAGAAUUUUGCAAAAGGUUUGCGAUUUUUAACAGUCUACAACACUAUUCUGAGAUGUUCUGCAUGAUCAGCCUCACUACGGAAAUACACAAAAAUAUCAUCAAUGAAGACAAUGACAAAUAAAUCGAGAUAAAGCUUGAAGACACUGUUCAUAAGAUCCAUGAAAGCAGUUGGCGCAUUUGUUAACCGAAAUGACAUAACAAGAAAUUCAAAAUGGUUAUAACGAGUUCUGAAAGCGGUCUUCGGAAUAUCAACUUCCUUAACCUUUAACUGAUGGUAGCCUGAUCUGAGGUCAAUCUUCGAAUAACAUUGGGCACAGUGAAGUUGGUCAAAUAAGUCACCUAUUCUGGGAAGUGCACACACAUGCAUAAGGAACAAUCCUUCUUUCAGACAAACAAAACUGGCGCACCCCAAGCCAUUCUGUACGGCGGAAUAGAUAUCGGCUUAGUACCGGAAGUAGAUCAAUUCCAAAGUCAAUCUUCCUGUCAGGAGGGACUCCUGAAAGAUCUUCGGGAAAGACCUCUAGAAACUCAUUUACAAUUGAGAUGGACUGGAGAGUUGGAGUCUGGGCAUCUGAAUCCUUGACUCGAACUUGAUGGUAGAUAUAACCUUUGAAAAUUAUUUUUCUGGCUCUUAGGUAAGAAAUGAAUCUACCCCUGGUUACUACUGAAUUACCCUCCCAUUCUAAGACUGGCUCAUUACAGAACUCGAAUCUUACAACUUUUGUUCUACAACAUACCGUGGCAUAACAUGAAGCUAACCAGUCCAUACCCAUGAUCACAUCAAAGUCUACCAUUUCUAAUUCUGCUUAGUAAACUAUGGUCAUGCGGUGAUAAACUAGAACUGGACAACCCCUAUAAAUACGCUUAGCUAUGACUGACUCUCCUACUGGGGUGGACACCUCAAAGGGUAUAUGCAAUUUUUCUUGUUCAAUACCAAACUUCUUCGCAACAAAUGGGGUUACAUAUGAUAAGGUGGAUCCUGAGUCAAUAAGGGCAUAUAUGUCAAAAGUAAAAGCUGUUAGUGUACCUGUGACUAUAUCUGCAGGAGCUUCUGUAUCCUGUCGACCUGUCAACGCACACAAGCGGUUUCGUCCUCCGCAUGUGUUUCCUAACUUAGCUGCAUUGUGCCCCUGCUGGGCCUGAUUGUUACGAGGGACUACUGAAUUCGUGGACUGCGCUAUGUAACCUCCGGUACCCUGUCUAGUUGAUGGACAAUCUCUCUGAAUGUGGCCCUUCUUGCCGCAACCAUAGCACGCAUCUGUACUCGUACGACACUCACCUAAGUGUCUCUUGCUACACUUGCUGCAAGCUGGAAUAGUAUAAGCUAACUGACCCACACUAGCCUGAGAAUAAGAACUCGAUGGUCUGAAGUUCUGCUUCUUGUCAUUUCAAAACUUCGGGAAUGGAGCACUUGUUGUGGAUGGAGCAGGUCCUGCUGACCUGUUCUUAAAGAAUCUCCUAUUCCCAUUACCGCUGAACUGUCCGUUAGACUUGACCCUCUUGUUUAACUCCUUGUCUUUCUCUUUCUUUAAGGUUUCCUCCUCUUUUAGCCUUGUCUCAUUCCCCUGUACGAAAGAAACCAUCUUGGAGAUAGUCAUUCCACUGUUUUGGGCAGCAAUAUUGUCCGCAUCGUACAAAUGGGGAUCCAGACCACCAACAAACCUCCUCAGUCUUGCCCUCAUGUCCGGUAUCAUAAGUGGAGCAUGCUUAGCCAGACUAACAAAUUCCAAAUAGUAGUCCUGAACUGGCCUGCCAUUCUGCUUAAGCUUCAGGAAUUACUCAGCCCAAGCUUCUCUGACUUCUAUUGGCGUGAAGUGUUCUAGGAAUGCGCUUGCAAAUUCAUCCCAUGUAGCAUCAGGUGCAUCAUCACCUCGGGAUAAUUUCCAAGAUUCAUACCAAGUGUUAGCAAUGCUCUGCAGCUGAUAAGCUCCAAAAGUAGCUGCUUCGGUUUCCGUAACUGUCAUAAUCCUGAAGAUUUUUUAAAGAGCAUCAAUAUAAUCCUGAGGAUCCUCGUCUUUCUUUAUCCCCAUGAAGACUGGGAUUCAUCCUGAGAUAGUCCUUAGUCUUAGAAGACUCUCCAUUAUUCCCUGAACUUGACUAGAUUCCUAACGCUGGGCCUGAGCUGCUACCAACUGAGUGAGCAUGUUAGCGGCGCUUCUAACAUCAGUAUCAUUAGUUCCGGGUGGAGGAACUAGAAUCUCUGUUGGAGUAGCAGUCAUUGGUGGCAUCGUCUCUGGCAGAGGUGUCUGAUUCGAAGUGGCUCAGAUAGCCUCUGUCUUUGCAGCAUUAACAGCUGCUCUUUGGAUGGUAGCUUAGUUCCUCUUCGUGUGCUUUCUUUUUGGAGCCAUUUCUGAAAUACGUAAUUCGCACGAGUUAGAAGAUUUUCUGAAAGUACUGUUCUAACUGCACGAUCUAGAGUAUGAAAGAAGUGAGACAAUCUUGAAUGUCUUAGUGGUCAACUAUCUAUAUGGGGCUCUCACACAUAUAAAAGUGACCCCACUGGACACGGUUCCAUAGACUCUCUAAAGACACUUGAACCUAGGCUGUGAUACCAAGCUUUGUCACGCCCCGAACCAUGGCCUGGGUGAAACACGACACUCGAUGUCUUACUGCAUGUGACCGAGCGAAUCACAUGGCUUGAUGAAUCAUCAUGAGACAUAACAUGAGCGGAAAUAUAACGCGAGAACACGAUGGGCUUUUAAGAACAGACACAAAGUCAUAAAAAUUAAUAAAAUACUCGUUAUAACAUGAAUGCGAAAAUACCAUGAAUUGAGCCAAAGAUGGUUAAACAACUUGUAUGUUUGACAUAACUAAACUGGCUAGUCUAUAAAACCUCUAAUCAUGAGUCUUAACUGGAAAAUGUACUUGCUGGGACAAGACCCCCAGCAUACCUUUAAAUGCAUAACUGAUAAAAUAAAGACAACUGACUAAAACCCUAAAUGAGAUGGGGCUCACCAACAAACUGAUACGAGCGAAUCCUACUGAGCAGAUGUGGAGUCCUGUAAAUCUGUACCUGCAUCGUCAAAUGCAAGCCCUCGGGCAAUAAAAGGGGGACGUCAGGACAUUGAAUGUACUGGUAGGUAAAGCAACUGAAUGAAAUAACAUAGGACAUGGAAAUAACAUAAUAGAGACUGAACUGAAACAUAAUCAUGAACAUGAGUACAUAUACAUAUAUAACAUGUGUAAAGUAUUGUCAGUAGGGAAAGCAGUAAAUAUAACCGACAACAUGGUCUGGUACUUGUGUCCUACUAGCAGAAUACUCAUACCUUGCCAGGGACAUGAGAUUUAAUAAUAUUAUGAAAGGAUCCAGUCAUUAUGAGAGAUCGUCGUAAGCAUGGGUGGAGCGAUCCUCAUCAUAUUGUGGCUACGCAGUUUUAGGCUAUUUGAAGCCUUCUCGGUAAUUAAUGCAACUCCCAAAAACAUGAACAUGAAAAAUAAGUGGCACUUGCUACCCAUGACUUUUCAUGAAUCAUAACUUGCAUGUACAUGGAUAUCAUUUGUAUUAUUCUUGCAUGAACUUAUAAAACAUAAAUAGCUUUUCUUGAAAAUAUUAUAAUAGUUCAUAAACUUGCAUGUAAGAAACCAUGGAAUGCAAGGUAUGGGUUUUCAUGGAUUACAGACAGAUUCUCAAUAAUCAUAAUGAUGUAUCAAGAACAAAAUGAAGAAUUUAUAACAAAUUAAUACAUAAUAUAACAUGGGGCAUGGACCUAGGGUUAUCAUGAACAUGGUUAAAAUCCCUAGUUUUCGCAAAGCUUCAUACUUUAUGGAAAAAGAAGAGUGGGGAAGAACAAUGAUGUUCCCACACGUAGAUAGCAACCCCACAUACCUGGUAAUGCUCCAAGCUUGAAAUAAAAAUCUAAACUUAGAAGAAGAAUUCCAAGGUUUAAGUCUUGAGUCCUUUAAAUGGGUUUUCAUGAAAACCCUAUGUUAAGAACAAUGAUUUCAUUGUUAGAUUAUGAGAACACAUGAUAGAAUUUAUUUGGAAGGGUUUGGAUUGACUUACCUUGAUGUUUUGGAUUGUUGGGAGAAGAAUACCUUCGUUCUAGGGUUUAUGGACUUGUAAAAAUAAAUAUUAGAACUGAAACCAGGUAUUUAUAGUUUCUGGUGCGAAGUGAAAAAUACAGACCAAAAUACGAUCUAUUCUGAAUUACGGUCCGUAAACCUGGACCGUAAUUAAGCAUGUUCAAUAGGACAGAAACACUGUAGCACCUCCUUCCCAAUUACGACCAUCAAAUACGGGCCAUAUUUCAAAAUACAGUCUGUGUUUAACAAUAUAUAUUCCCAAAUCCAAAUUCCAGAAUGCACAGUGAUUUAGAUGCCAAAUUACGAUUUUAAAUACGGGCCGUAUACUGAAAUAUAUGGUCCGUAUUCUGGGGCGUAAAUCCCCAUUUGACAACUGAAGAGAAAUUUCCAAUUCCCACAUUCUUUAUCUGGUUUUCUAAGUCUAGAAUCAUGAAUAUAGCCUAUUUUAAAGGUACGGGUUGUUACACAAAUAUACCAUAAGUAUUCCCUGGUAAGUGUGAAAGGAAAUGGUUACCCAUCACUUAUUGCAUACUGGUUUUAUUUUUUGAGUUUUAGUUGGGAGCACCAUCGGUGUAUAGUUUUUCUACACUAUCAGGUAACAUUUACAUGCUAUAGAAGGUUGUCAAUCUAUUCUUAAUUAUUUUCCUUAAUGUUGCUUUUUAUUUUUAUUUUUUAUUUACAUUCUCUCUUUUUCGUUAAAAAAAGGUCGUCUUGCUCGUCUCACAAAUCACAGGAUUAUCACCCACCUAUUUUCUCUCUUUGGCUUCUUGUAACCCAUAUGUUCUAGUUCAUCCGAAAUCUUUUAUUAUCCUCCAGUGAAAAUGCAAAAGGAUUAUAUGGAACUAUCAAUGUGAUUUAAGUUUGUCUAUUUUUCUCCAAUUCUUUUACAAAUUUACUUCAUAAUUGCUAUCUGUAGGGCUUCUGAAUUAGAUAAAUGAAGUUACGAAACAGAAAUAAUCUUAUCAAACCAGAAAAAAAGUUAUAACUUAGAGAUUAAUGGAACUGGAUUAUAUUUUCGAUGAGCUAAAGAGACAAAACCUCUGUAUCAGUGAUUUUGACGAUGUUGUUAAGAAUAAAACUGAAGAAUGUCAAAAAUAGUAAAUAACUGUGGAAAGAAAAUAAUUCACGAAUACAACGCAGAUAUAAUUUAGUUAGCAUAAAGAGGAUUCAACUUGCCUUUAAUAUUCUAUAGGUAAAUUAUAAUUAUAUUAAAAAAGGUAAUAGAAUUACUUAAGAAAUUAUUGUGGUUAUUACCUUUGAAAUCACAUGGUAGUGUAAAAUCUUUUGUCCACUAACGGUGCACCAAACUUAAACUCUUUUUUUUGUUGCUAAUUUUAACUAUUUUUUGCUUUUCGUUUGGUUUUUGUUAAAUUACUCUUCCUUUUAGAAGGUUAUAUGAGGGUUAUUAGCUGGAUGAGAAUAAUUGAGCGAACGGUCGAUAAACUAUUAUGCAGCCUGGUAUUAGUACUUGAAUUAAGCAUUAGCGUACCACAAUUUUUAUUGUUUCCAGCAGAAAUAAGUGAUAAUUUGAUAAAAUUGCUUCAUUUUUAGCCUUAUUUAAUUUGGGGCGGGUCGGGUUUGUCGGGUAUAGGUGGGUUGGGAUCCAAUCAACAUAAUUUAAAAUUAAUUAGAUUAGUUAAUUAUAUGGGGUAACCAAUUAAAUGCUGUCAUGUCAUAAAUGAGAUGAGACUGUUAGAAAUAAGGGUAUAUUAGACCCCAUAGGUGAACGGCAGGGGUAUUUGGGGGCUCAAAGGUGGAUGGAAGAUAUUUUUGUACCAAUUCUAAUAGUUCGAGGGUAUUUGAGGCCCUUUUUUCGUUUAAUUAAAUCUGAUUACCCAUUUUAAUUACCCGAAUCCAUUUUAAAACUCGCCCGACCCGAUUUUUUCUUCUUCUUUCUCUCGUCUUCUUCUGUCCAAUUCCUCCAUCAACGGAAGCCCCUUUCCGUACUCCUCUAAUUAAUUAUGAUUUCUUGUCCUGGUAUGUCGCUGUUUAAUCCACUAUAGCAAAUUUCAUUUUGUUAUAGAAGAAAUUGUGAGCUAACACUACCUGCCUCGGUUUAAUACUUAUUUGAUUAAUUUCCAUCUACUAGAUGGAGCAUCGUAAGCUAAAAACGUGGCUUCAUUGAAGUUAAAAGACUAAAUUUCCAAAUUUUGAAAAACUACACUAAAUUCGUUAUAUAUUUUCUUCAUUAAUGUUUCACAAGGAGAAACCAUAAUCACCGUUGUAUGCCCAAAAUAUCAUAAAAUACUACAUGAAGCAAAACUCUUAAUCAUUCUGCGACGUCAAUGACAAAAUGUAUUUAAUCAGAUUUUUAUGACGCCAGACUAGAGAAAAAUGGAAAAGGGUUGUCAUUGAUGGAGGGCUUAGAAGAGAGAAAGAAGAAACAAAAGUCGGGUCGGGCCGAGUUUUAAAAUGGAAUCGGGAAAUUAAAAGGAAAUUUUCCUUGGGGUAGAGAACAUAUAAGUGGUAUUUAUAUUUAGUAACUAUAUUUUAUUUUAGUUACAUCUGGUAGCUAAAUGUUGUAUUUCAAUUACACAAGGUAACUAAUACAUAACUCUCCUCCUCUCUCUCUCACUCUCUAAUGUCUAGAACUCUCUCCUCCUCCUCUCUCUCUCUCUCUCUCUCUAACGUCUGGUCUCUUCCUUCACCAUCUGGUCUCUCUCUCUCUCUCACUCUCACGUCUGGUUAUGUCUUCCUCCCCAUCUUCUCCGCGCGAGUCUAACCGCCGCCGUCGUCGAACCAUCCUUAAACACCGUCCAAACACCACUGCCGCCGUCGUCACAACACAUACACGUAUACUCGUUGUAUAACAUGUAUCUACAUGUCCACUUCGUAACCCUAUUUUUUUGGAUUGUUAAUAGUUCGUUUGAUUUUUGUGUGGAUCUGCGUUGAUUUGAAUGGAUACGACAUCGUCUUCUUCGUCAAUGGCAGAGUCGUCCUCUUUCUCUCCAUCUUCUCCGGCGAGUUCUAACCGCUGGCGCCACACACCGACCGGAAAGGAGUAGGUCGGUAAGGCUUAGAUCUGACCGGAAAAUACACUGUAUUGUUGUAUACAUACAGUGUAUUUUGUAUUUCGUCAGAGAUCUAAAGUGUAUUUUGUGUUUUUCGCCUGUAUUUCGAGGGAGAUCUUUUUGUAUACAAAUGAAUACAGUGAAUUUGAAGUGUAUUUUAUUUCUUGUAUCUCAAAUCCGAGUGUAUUUUAUUUC
This is a long non-coding RNA of Lycium barbarum (goji berry), 12413 nucleotides long. RefSeq lists it as uncharacterized. The record is from RefSeq and is a predicted model, not a curated record. The transcript has 2 exons. Lineage: Eukaryota; Viridiplantae; Streptophyta; Magnoliopsida; Solanales; Solanaceae.